CUGGGGGGCUGCCGCCACGCUGCGUCCGCUUCGGCCCUCUUUCUGGGCGCUGUCGGUUUGGGGCAAGUUUGUUUUUUAAAAAAACAACAACACUAGUCGCUCUCAAAUUUGGCGUAUCGUCUCUGCCGUUGGAGCAGAAGGAGACUGCGCGUUUCGCCCAUAGGCCAGCCUUCGGGUGUGCAAAACCUCUGAGCACGUGCAGAGUGCAAACCCCUCCGCCAGCCGGGGCUGGAGAAACUUCGCAGUGCGUCGGGCGGGCGUUUCUGCCCCGCCUUUCUUUGCCGUAGGCAUCGGGGCGCCGUCGGUCGCUCUUCUCUCCGCCAGUUCGUCUUCACAACAACCCCGCGAGGCCUCCCGGUCCCCCGCCAAGAUGGCACUCUCUCCUGGGCAAGGCGGGGGCUGCCUUGGGCUGUGCCUGGUUUUGGUGGCCCUGGGGGACGCCAGGGUUUUCCUCCAGGAGAAAGCUCCGCAUCAAAGCACCCUCAUUGCUGCCAUCUCCAUCCCCAUGAUAGUGGCUGCCGUGAUGACAUUUGUUGCUUUCUUGGUGAUAGUCAUGGCGUGCAUGCUAUUGAAGCUGAGGUUCUCCUGCCCCUGUAUGAGGGGGGAAUACGAAGCCCUGGAGGGCGCUGGCGUCGUGGAGCCCGUGGAUGGCGAGGAUGGCGGCCGGCUGGAUCGCGGCGCAGGGCGCCUCCCCACCUACGAGGAGGCGGUCUACGGUCACGUGGGGACGUCGCCGCCCUUUGGCGCCCAAGGCCCGUGCCCGCUGUUUUCCGAAAGCGACUUCUCUCGCCCAGAGCCCCGUAGCCCCUGCCUUGCUCCGGGGGGGUCCCCUUUCUCAGAGGAGCCCCCUUCCUACCACGAGGCCUUGGCGACGGCGUUUGCGGAAGCGCACGGCCUCCUGAGCCAGGAGCUGCUUGCCAGACGUGUUUGGAUGAAGAGCGUGGAUCCUGCUCCAUGCGGCGCCUGUUCUGUUUGCGCUCUGCUCUUCCAUGCGCAGAAAUCCGGCCCUUGCCGGGGCUGGGGUCGGGUUGGGGCUGAUGCUGCCAAUUCCCGUCCCAGACUCUCCCUCUGGCGGUGGACAGAAAUCCCGGCGCAGGGAGGCCGAGCCUCUUGGCUACUCGGGGGCGUCCGCCGAGGAGCCCCCCGUUUUGCAAGAGAAGGCAGGGCCAACUGCGGCGGGGGCUUUGCCGAAGGGGCAGGUGGAAAGCCCGCUUCCUGGCGCAAGAAUGCGGCCUGGGGGGCCGCUUGCAUGGCGCGGGCCCAUUCCAACAUACUCGAUGCCUAUUUCGGCCUGUUUUUAAGCGACAAUUAA
This 1312-nucleotide long non-coding RNA is filed under the name Salvator merianae (Argentine black and white tegu). Its description in RNAcentral is "lncRNA (ENSSMRG00000016568.1)". The record is from RNAcentral. Lineage: Eukaryota; Metazoa; Chordata; Lepidosauria; Squamata; Teiidae.